CAGUCGCCGCGGGAAUACGUAGGGUGCGAGCGUUAAUCGGGAUUACUGGGCGUAAAGGGCGCGUAGGCGGUUUAGUGAGUGUGAUGUGAAAGCCCCGGGCUUAACCUGGGAAGUGCAUCGCAAACGACUAAACUGGAGUAUAAGAGAGGGUGGCGGAAUUUCCGGUGUAGCGGUGAAAUGCGUAGAGAUCGGAAGGAACGUCAAUGGCGAAGGCAGCCACCUGGCUUAUUACUGACGCUGAGGCGCGAAAGCGUGGGGAUCAAACAGGAUUAGAUACCCGCGUAGUCCCUGUCUCUUAUAC
RNAcentral lists this ribosomal RNA (301 nucleotides) under uncultured bacterium. Its description in RNAcentral is "partial 16S ribosomal RNA". It matches the Rfam family "Bacterial small subunit ribosomal RNA", at positions 509 to 807 of the family's 1533-position model. The record is from RNAcentral.